GGAUGAAUGGUUGAGUGGUUGAAAACGUCAAUUUUGAAAAUUGAAAUAAAGUAAUUUAUCGUAGGUUCGAAUCCUACUUCAUCCG
This 85-nucleotide transfer RNA is filed under the name Phyllymenia turuturu. RNAcentral describes it as "Grateloupia turuturu tRNA-Ser". It matches the Rfam family "tRNA". From Rfam's summary of the family: Transfer RNA (tRNA) molecules are approximately 80 nucleotides in length. Their secondary structure includes four short double-helical elements and three loops (D, anti-codon, and T loops). RNAcentral also lists the same sequence under 1 other name. Lineage: Eukaryota; Rhodophyta; Florideophyceae; Halymeniales; Halymeniaceae. The record is from RNAcentral.